Molecule: ribosomal RNA, 253 nt
Filed under: uncultured bacterium
Lineage: Bacteria
Description: partial 16S ribosomal RNA
Rfam family: Bacterial small subunit ribosomal RNA
Source: RNAcentral
UACGUAGGGGGCAAGCGUUGUCCGGAUUUAUUGGGCGUAAAGAGCGUGUAGGCGGCCAGGUAGGUCCGUUGUGAAAACUGGAGGCUUAACCUCCAGCUGUCGAUGGAAACCAUCUGGCUAGAGUCCGGAAGAGGAGAGUGGAAUUCCUGGUGUAGCGGUGAAAUGCGCAGAUAUCAGGAGGAACACCGAUGGCGAAGGCAGGUCUCUGGGCCACUACUGACGCUGAGAAGCGAAAGCAUGGGGAGCGAACAGG